GACGAACGCUGGCGGCGUGCCUAAUACAUGCAAGUUGAGCGCUGAAGGUUGGUGCUUGUACCUACUGGAUGAGCAGCGAACGGGUGAGUAACGCGUGGGGAAUCUGCCUUUGAGCGGGGGACAACAUCUGGAAACGAAUGCUAAUACCGCAUAAAAACUUUAAACACAAGUUUUAAGUUUGAAAGAUGCAAUUGCAUCACUCAAAGAUGAUCCCGCGUUGUAUUAGCUAGUUGGUGAGGUAAAGGCUCACCAAGGCGAAGAUACAUAGCCGACCUGAGAGGGUGGUCGGCCACAUUGGGACUUAGACACGGCCCAAACUCCUACGGGAGGCAGCAGUAGGGAAUCUUCGGCAAUGGACGAAAGUCUGACCGGGCAACGCCGCGGGAGUGAAGAAGGUUUUCGGAUCGUAAAACUCUGUUGGUAGGGAAGAACGUUGGUGAGAGUGGAAAGCUCAUCAAGUGACGGUAACUACCCAGAAAGGGACGGCUAACUACGUG
Molecule: ribosomal RNA, 497 nt
Filed under: uncultured bacterium
Lineage: Bacteria
Description: partial 16S ribosomal RNA
Rfam family: Bacterial small subunit ribosomal RNA
Source: RNAcentral